This 497-nucleotide ribosomal RNA is filed under the name uncultured bacterium. Its description in RNAcentral is "partial 16S ribosomal RNA". It matches the Rfam family "Bacterial small subunit ribosomal RNA", at positions 28 to 507 of the family's 1533-position model. The record is from RNAcentral.
GAUGAACGCUGGCGGCGUGCCUAAUACAUGCAAGUCGAGCGAACAGACGAGGAGCUUGCUCCUCUGACGUUAGUGGCGGACGGGUGAGUAACACGUGGAUAACCUACCUAUAAUACUGGGAUAACUUCGGGAAACCGGAGCUAAUACCGGAUAAUAUAUUGAACCGCAUGGUUCAAUAGUGAAAGACGGUUUUGCUGUCACUUAUAGAUGGAUCUGCGCCGCAUUAGCUAGUUGGUAAGGUAACGGCUUACCAAGGCAACGAUGCGUAGCCGACCUGAGAGGGUGAUCGGCCACACUGGAACUGAGACACGGUCCAGACUACUACGGGAGGCAGCAGUAGGGAAUCUUCCGCAAUGGGCGAAAGCCUGACGGAGCAACGCCGCGUGAGUGAUGAAGGUCUUCGGAUCGUAAAACUCUGUUAUUAGGGAAGAACAAAUGUGUAAGUAACUAUGCACGUCUUGACGGUACCUAAUCAGAAAGCCACGGCUAACUACGUG